UGGGGAAUAUUGGACAAUGGGCGCAAGCCUGAUCCAGCAAUGCCGCGUGUGUGAAGAAGGCCUUCGGGUUGUAAAGCACUUUUAUCAGGAGCGAAAUGCCAUGGGUUAAUACCUCGUGGAGCUGACGGUACCUGAGGAAUAAGCACCGGCUAACUUCGUGCCAGCAGCCGCGGUAAUACGAAGGGUGCAAGCGUUAAUCGGAAUUACUGGGCGUAAAGGGUGCGUAGGCGGUUCGUUAAGUCUGUUGUGAAAUCCCCGGGCUCAACCUGGGAAUGGCAAUGGAAACUGGCGAGCUAGAGUGUGUCAGAGGAUGGUGGAAUUCCCGGUGUAGCGGUGAAAUGCGUAGAGAUCGGGAGGAACAUCAGUGGCGAAGGCGGCCAUCUGGGACAACACUGACGCUGAAGCACGAAAGCGUGGGGAGCAAACAGGAUUAGAUACCCCGGUAGUCC
Molecule: ribosomal RNA, 449 nt
Filed under: uncultured bacterium
Lineage: Bacteria
Description: bacterial SSU rRNA
Rfam family: Bacterial small subunit ribosomal RNA
Source: RNAcentral